UGACCCUACGGGGGCAGCAGUGAGGAAUAUUGGUCAAUGGGCGGAAGCCUGAACCAGCCAGGUCGCGUGAGGGAAGACGGUCCUAUGGAUCGUAAACCUCUUUAGGCGGGGAGCAAUGCCGGGCACGCGUGUCCGGAGGGAGAGUACCCGCAGAAUAAGCAUCGGCUAACUCCGUGCCAGCAGCCGCGGUAAUACGGAGGAUGCGGGCGUUAUCCGGAUUUAUUGGGUUUAAAGGGUGCGUAGGCGGAUUUUUAAGUCAGCGGUAAAAUGUCCGGGCUCAACCCGGGCCGGCCGUUGAAACUGGG
This 305-nucleotide ribosomal RNA is filed under the name uncultured bacterium. Its description in RNAcentral is "bacterial SSU rRNA". It matches the Rfam family "Bacterial small subunit ribosomal RNA", at positions 333 to 637 of the family's 1533-position model. The record is from RNAcentral.